RNAcentral lists this long non-coding RNA (3311 nucleotides) under Homo sapiens (human). RNAcentral's name for it is "non-protein coding lnc-PPP6R2-4:2". The record is from RNAcentral. Lineage: Eukaryota; Metazoa; Chordata; Mammalia; Primates; Hominidae.
ACUUCCGGGGAAGCGGCCGAACUGGGGCCUUCCAGGGUCCACGCCGUCUGAGGCCCGAGAGAGUCGGUUCGGCCCCGGUGUUCGCGGAUCCCGGCUCGCGGGAGCCUCGGGGCCAGGCCAGGGAGGCAGAGCAAGCUGCAGCCAGCCGGCGCCGGGCUCGUCGGGCUUCGCAGGUCCGGCCAGCCUACCUCGCCCCACCGCGCAGGGGCCAGCGGCGUCGCGGGCGUUUUCGUGGCGGAAUGGCGUCCUCACUGAGCGCCCAGCCACCACCGCGGACUCGCGCUCGCUUCCUCUGGGGCCCGCGCGGCCUGGGGUCGUGUCUGACCGCGGGUGUCCACGCAACACCUCUGCAGUUUCACUUUCCGGGGGAAUCGCGGGGACCUGGAGCGAACUCUUCCCUCCCUCGCGAGGGCCCCGGGCCCCGCUGUGGUCCACAGAGCACCUUGAGGCCCGGCGUGGAAGGGCGAGUUUGGGGCUGUCGGUAACUUAAUGAGGCACGCCUUUGAGUCGUGGGCCUCAUGACGUUUCCGUGGAAGGCGGGCCGCAUAUACUGUGGUGGUCCCUUCAGAUUACCACGUGUUGGCCAGACGCGGUGGCUCACGCCUGUAAUCUCACCGCUUUGGGAGGCCGAGGUGGGGUGGCGGAUCACGAAUCCAGGAAAUCGAGACCAACCUGGUGAAACCCUGUCUCUACUGAAAAUACAAAAAUUAGCCGGGCGUGGUGGCUGGCGAGCGCCGUAACCCCAGCUAUUGGGGAGGCUGAGGCAGGAGAAUCGUUUGAACCCCGGAGGCGAAGCUUGCAGUGAGCUGAGAUGUCGCCAUUGCACUCCAGCCUGGGCGACAGAGUGAGACUCCAUCUCAAAAAUAAAAAAAUAAAAGAUUACCACGUGUUGUUCGGAUCAUCUGGCCUAGGUGUGGGGUAGGCUGUCCCAUCUAGGUUUGUCACAUAACAAAAUCGCCUAAUGACACAUUUCUCAGGACAUAGCUUCACCGUUGAGUAGCACAUGGCCGUAUUGUUUUUUGUUUGUUUGUUUCUGUUGUUUUUUUUGAGACAGAAUGUUGCUCUUGUUGCCCAGGCAGGAGUGCAAUGGCAUGGUCUUGGCUCACUGCAACCUCUGCCUACUGGGUUCGAGCGAUUCUCCUGCCUCAGCCUCCCGAGUAGCUGGAAUUACAGGCGUGCACCACCACGCCAGGCUAAUUUCUGUAUUUUUGGUAGAAACGGUUUCACCAUUUUGGCCAGGCUGGUCUCGAACUCCUGAGCUCAGGUGAUCUGCCCGCCUCGGCCUCCCAAAGUGUUGAGAUUACAGGCGUGAGCCACUAUGCCAGGCCCGACUGUAUAGCUUUUAUUUUUAUUUUUAGAGGAAAGGUCUCAUGCACUCCAGCCUGUGUGACAGAGCGAGACUUUGUCUCAAAAAAAGAUAAAAAAAGAAAAUGGAAACAUUCCUACCAACAGUUUAUGUUUCCUUUGCUCCACAUCCUUCCCAACAUUUGGUGUUGCCAAGCGUCUUCAUUGUAGCCAGCCAAUGAGUGGGUAGUGGUAUCUUGUGAUUUUUAAAAUUUUGUUUAUUUUAUAGAGAAGAGAUCUCAUCCUAUCACCCAGGCUGAAGUUCAGUGAUGUCAUCAUAGCUCACUGCAGCCUGGAACUCCUGGGCUCAAGGGAUCCUCCUUCAUUGGCCUCCCAAGUAGCUGUAACUACAGGCAUGUGCCACCGUGCCUGGGUAUUCUUGUGGUUUUGAUUUGCAUUUCCCUGAUUACUAAUGGUCUUGAGCAUUUUUUUCCCCUGUGGUUAUUGCAUGCCAUCAUUGUAAGAUGUACUCUGAUUUUGAGGUAGGAGGCAGAACUUUAUUCCAGACCAGAUUAAAGACUGGCUGAAGGCCGGGCGCGGUGGCUCACGCCUGUAAUCCUAACACUUUGGGAGGCCGAAAAGGCGAGCAGAUCAGCAGAUCGAGACCAUCCUGGCUAACACGGUGAAACCUCAUCUCUACUAAAAGUACAGAAAAUUAGCCGGGUGUGGUGGCUGGUGCCUGUAGUCUCAGCUACUCGGGAGGCUGAGGCAGGAGAAUCACUUGAACCCAGGAGGCGGAGGUUGCAAUGAGCUGAGAUCGCACCACUGCACUCCAGCCUGGGCGACAGAGGGAGACUCUGUCUCAAAAAAAAAAAAAAAAAAAAAAAGCUGGCUGAAACUGGGAAGAGGCAAAAGCACCGCUCCAUGAGACAUGCCCACCAGUGCCAUCUCUGUUUACCAUUGCCAUGGCAACACCCACAAGUUACUGCCGCUUCCCAUGAUAACCACCCCAAAGUUAACGACCUUUUUCUAAAACUUUCUGAAUAACUUGCACCUUAAUUUGUACAUAAUUAAAAGUAGUUGGCCGGGUAUGGUGGCUCACGCCUGUAAUCCCAGCACUUUGGGAGGUCGAGGCGGGCAGAUCAUGAGAUAAGGAGAUCGAGACCAUCCUGGCUAACACAGUGAAACACCGUCUCUACUAAAAAUACAGAAAUUAGCCAGGCGUGGUAGCGGGCACUUGUAAUCCCAGCUACUCGGGAGGCUGAGGUACGAGAAUCGCUUGAACCCAGGAGGCAGAGGUUGCAGUGAGCUGAGGUUGCGCCAUUGCACUCCAGCCUGGGCGACAUACUGAGGCUCUGUCUCAAAAAAAAGAAAAGAAACGAAAAAAAAACAGAGAGAGAGCCGGGCGCGGUGGCUCAUGCCUGUAGUCCCAGCACUUUGGGAGGCCAAGGCGGGCGGAUCAUGAGGUCAGGAGAGAUUGAGACCAUCCUGGCUAACACAGUGAAACCCUGUCUCUACUAAAAAUACCAAAAAAAAAAAAAAAAAGCCGGGCGUGGUGGCAGGCACCCUUAUCCCAGCUACUCUGGAGGCUGAGACAGGAGAAUGGCGUGAGCCCAGGAGGCGGAGCUUGCAGUGAGCCGAGAUCGCGCCACUGCACUCCAGCCUUGGGCAACAGAGCAAGACUCCGUCUCAAAAAAAAAAAAAAAAAAAAAAGAAAAGAAAAAAGAAAAAAAGAAAGAGAGGAGGCUUAGAGUCAGAGAAGUCAAUGUGGUGCUGGGAUCUGAGAAAAAGAACCUGGAAGAUGGUCAGUUGCUGGCUUUGAAGAUGGAGGAAGACACUAAACCAAGGGAUGCAGGACAAGCUGGAAAAGGCAAGGACAUAGAUUUUCCCUGGAGCUUCCCAGAGGAAGCCAACAUCUGGAUUUUCGUCCCAUAAGACUCAUCUCAGAUUUGUGAGCUCCAGGACUGUAAGAGUCUCGCUUAUGUCACCUAGACUGGAUGGAAUGCAAUUAUGUGAUCUCAGCUCAC